UCGUGCUAGGCGGGGAACCAGCGGUGCCCUGUACCCGAGAUCCGCUAUAGCGGGGCUGAAUCCGAUCUCGAGGUUUUGUUUUUCAGAACUGCAAUGGUUAAGCGGUGUUGAAGGUUGGGUCUUGUGCGGCGGAGGUCUAUGAAUCCCGUCAGGUCCGGAAGGAAGCAGCGGUAAAUAGUAAUCUCCGGGUGACGCAGGUUUGCCUGGCCUGAGCUGGCUGGCAGGCGUAAGCUGAAGAACUCUAUCGACAGAACGGUGCACGG
This 263-nucleotide signal recognition particle RNA is filed under the name Dehalococcoidia bacterium. Its description in RNAcentral is "signal recognition particle sRNA large type". It matches the Rfam family "Bacterial large signal recognition particle RNA". From Rfam's summary of the family: The signal recognition particle (SRP) is a universally conserved ribonucleoprotein involved in the co-translational targeting of proteins to membranes. Archaeal SRP consists of a 7S RNA and homologues of the eukaryotic SRP19 and SRP54 proteins. The record is from RNAcentral. Lineage: Bacteria; Bacillati; Chloroflexota; Dehalococcoidia.